GACGUAGGGGCCGAGCGUUGUCCGGAGUUACUGGGCGUAAAGGGCGCGCAGGCGGUUGGUCACAUCGGCGGUGAAAGCCCCCCGCUCAACGGGGGAGGGUCCGUCGAGAUGGGCCGACUGGAGGCAGGGAGAGGGCGGUGGAAUUCCGGGUGUAGUGGUGAAAUGCGUAGAGUAUCCGGAGGAACACCAGUGGCGAAGGCGGACCGCC
RNAcentral lists this ribosomal RNA (208 nucleotides) under uncultured bacterium. Its description in RNAcentral is "partial 16S ribosomal RNA". It matches the Rfam family "Bacterial small subunit ribosomal RNA", at positions 524 to 729 of the family's 1533-position model. The record is from RNAcentral.